GGUCCCAGUCUACAUUCCGUGGCAGCCUGGCUCCAACAUCCCAGGGAAUUGUGUCACUCCCAUUGAGCAGCUGUGGGGCCCUCUCCCACAUGGCCCAGGUCCACCACUCUGUCAAAGGUCGCACAGCCCAGACAAAAACAGGACACAGCAGUGUGUGAAUGAGCCGGGCUUUCUCCUUCCCUCCACGUAAUAGAAGGUGCCUGAGGUUGUUGAAACACAGUCCAUUUCUCCUGGGAAUGACAAGAAUUUGAGGGAUGCUGACUUUCAAGGAAUACUGCAUGACAGGCAUCAAGAUAAACCUGAUGAAGAAAACAUAGGCCAGAAUCUGGGAAUCGGGAGCAAAGUAAUACAGCUUCGGGGACAGGCACGUAAUGAGGUCAUGAUGUAGGAGACUCCCUGCAGGACUGGCGGCCCCUGUUCCCUGGGUUGUUCUGGCUCUUUCAGGGUAAAAUAAUUAUUUAGUUCCAAUCAUCUUUGUACACAAAGAUUUAUAUGUUAACAAGCUGAAUUCCUGCUUCAUCUGGAGGACUGCACAGUGUAUCUGAGAGAGGAUUUUCAGGAGGCCAGAAAAUCAAGCUGGAGGGAUUUUCAGCGUGUUGGGAGAUUGCUACCUGUUUUAAGUCAGGCCAUUGCCACGUCUUUUUCCCCACCUUGGAGACUUCAGCAAAUUGCUCAAAUGUCGGUGUGCUCUCAUGAACAGAAACGAUGGCACGGUGGGUCCUGGUCUCAAGACUUCCUCUCAAUGAUUCAGAGGUCUUGGGGGUUUUUUGUCUGAAUAUCAGGCAAAGAGGAAGGACGGCUACAAUGGAGGAGUCUCCUACCACGCUUGUGGUCGUCACUGUAGUGCUCAGUUGAAUGGUGUGUCCAUUGGGGUUGGAGUCCCCAUCCUGUUCUGGGUCCUGGCCCCCCACAGGCUCCAGGGACAUAACCCUUCCAGUUCAGGAUCAUGUGCUGGGGCACUGUUCCCUGAGGUGGGACUCUGGGCUGUAACAGCUGCUUUUGAAGCAUGUUCCAGCUUCAACCACGUGCUUGGACGACACCAGCUCUUCCCACAUACUCUUCCCCAGCUCUUGUGUUGAGUUUGGCUUCCACCUUCCUCCAGCUGGGUCUCGCUAUGUUGCCCAAGCCAUUCUGGAGCUCCUGCGCUUAAGUGAUCCUCCUGCCUCAGCCUCCCAAGUAACUGGAAUUAUAAAUGUGAGCCACUGUGCCCAGCAAUUACAAAAUUUUUGGAAUGCAAUUGGGAAGUACAGCUGAAAAACUUCAGCAACGUGGGCUGUUUGAUUGUACAAUCGCACUUCUUGGAAUUUAUCCUACAGAAAUCAGUAGUCAAGUUCACAAAAACUGACAAUAGCCAUUACAGAGAAGCAGAAGAAAGGGAAAUAAAAACAUUCAAACCUACCAACAGGAGAUUGGACAAAUAAAUCAUGUUAUAACUAUACAAUGGGCUAUUAUGUAACCAUUAAAAUGAUCAUCUAUUCUAGAUCUAUACUUAUUGCAAUAUAAUAAUAACCAUAAUAUAUAGUUAUUUGAUAAAAGAAGGUAGCACAUGUGAGGUAGUACAUCUCAUUUCUAUUAGAAAAAACUACACACAAACACAAACAUCGAAGAAAGGGAUCUGGGAAGAGAAGACAAGAAGCUCCCGGUGCAUUGCUCGGGAGAAACACAACCUAUGCCGUCAGUAACUAAUUCCCAGGGCGACAUCAUUG
Molecule: long non-coding RNA, 1706 nt
Filed under: Homo sapiens (human)
Lineage: Eukaryota; Metazoa; Chordata; Mammalia; Primates; Hominidae
Description: HSALNT0355851
Source: RNAcentral